RNAcentral lists this ribosomal RNA (507 nucleotides) under uncultured bacterium. RNAcentral describes it as "partial 16S ribosomal RNA". It matches the Rfam family "Bacterial small subunit ribosomal RNA", at positions 28 to 507 of the family's 1533-position model. The record is from RNAcentral.
GACGAACGCUGGCGGCGUGCCUAAUACAUGCAAGUCGAACGCAUUUUCUUUCACCGUAGCUUGCUACACCGAAAGAAAAUGAGUGGCGAACGGGUGAGUAACACGUGGGUAACCUGCCCAUCAGCGGGGGAUAACACUUGGAAACAGGUGCUAAUACCGCAUAAUUCCAUUUACCGCAUGGUAGAUGGGUGAAAGGCGCUUUUGCGUCACUGAUGGAUGGACCCGCGGUGCAUUAGCUAGUUGGUGGGGUAACGGCCUACCAAGGCUGCGAUGCAUAGCCGACCUGAGAGGGUGAUCGGCCACACUGGGACUGAGACACGGCCCAGACUCCUACGGGAGGCAGCAGUAGGGAAUCUUCGGCAAUGGACGCAAGUCUGGCCGAGCAACGCCGCGGGAGUGAAGAAGGUUUUCGGAUCGUAAAACUCUGUUGUUAGAGAAGAACAAGGAUGAGAGUGGAAAGUUCAUCCCUUGACGGUAUCUAACCAGAAAGCCACGGCUAACUACGUG